GACGAACGCUGGCGGCGUGCUUAACACAUGCAAGUCGAACGGAAAGGCCCUGCUUUUGUGGGGUGCUCGAGUGGCGAACGGGUGAGUAACACGUGAGUAACCUGCCCUUGACUUUGGGAUAACUUCAGGAAACUGGGGCUAAUACCGGAUAGGAGCUCCUGCUGCAUGGUGGGGGUUGGAAAGUUUCGGCGGUUGGGGUUGGACUCGCGGCUUAUCAGCUUGUUGGUGGGGUAGUGGCUUACCAAGGCUUUGACGGGUAGCCGGCCUGAGAGGGUGACCGGCCACGUUGGGACUGAGCUACGGCCCAGACUCCUACGGGCGGCAGCAGUGGGGAAUAUUGCACAAUGGGCGGAAGCCUGAUGCAGCAACGCCGCGUGCGGGAUGACGGCCUUCGGGUUGUAAACCGCUUUCGCCUGUGACGACGCGUGAGUGACGGUAAUGGGUAAAGAAGCACCGGCUAACUACGUG
This 468-nucleotide ribosomal RNA is filed under the name uncultured bacterium. RNAcentral's name for it is "partial 16S ribosomal RNA". It matches the Rfam family "Bacterial small subunit ribosomal RNA", at positions 28 to 507 of the family's 1533-position model. The record is from RNAcentral.